CCUACGGGUGGCAGCAGUGAGGAAUAUUGGUCAAUGGGCGUAAGCCUGAACCAGCCAAGUCGCGUGAGGGAUGAAGGUUCUAUGGAUCGUAAACCUCUUUUAUAAGGGAAUAAAGGGUGGGACGUGUCCUGUUUUGUAUGUACCUUAUGAAUAAGGAUCGGCUCACUCCGUGCCAGCAGCCGCGGUAAUACGGAGGAUCCGAGCGUUAUCCGGAUUUAUUGGGUUUAAAGGGUGCGUAGGCGGCCUUUUAAGUCAGCGGUGAAAGUCUGUGGCUCAACCAUAGAAUUGCCGUUGAAACUGGGAGGCUUGAGUAUGUUUGAGGCAGGCGGAAUUCGUGGUGUAGCGGUGAAAUGCUUAGAUAUCACGCAGAACCCCGAUUGCGAAGGCAGCCUGCCAAGCCAUGACUGACGCUGAUGCGCGAAAGCGUGGGGAUCAAACAGGAUUAGAUACCCCUGUAGUC
This 460-nucleotide ribosomal RNA is filed under the name uncultured bacterium. RNAcentral describes it as "partial 16S ribosomal RNA". It matches the Rfam family "Bacterial small subunit ribosomal RNA", at positions 338 to 795 of the family's 1533-position model. The record is from RNAcentral.